UACGUAGGUGGCAAGCGUUGUCCGGAUUUACUGGGCGUAAAGAGCGCGCAGGCGGUCGUUCAAGUCGCGUGUGAAAGCCCCCGGCUCAACUGGGGAGGGUCACGCGAUACUGAUCGACUCGAAGGCAGGAGAGGGAAGUGGAAUUCCCGGUGUAGUGGUGAAAUGCGUAGAUAUCGGGAGGAACACCAGUGGCGAAGGCGGCCUGCUGGGCAGUUGCUGACACUGAGGCGCGACAGCGUGGGGAGCAAACAGG
This 253-nucleotide ribosomal RNA is filed under the name uncultured bacterium. Its description in RNAcentral is "partial 16S ribosomal RNA". It matches the Rfam family "Bacterial small subunit ribosomal RNA", at positions 524 to 776 of the family's 1533-position model. The record is from RNAcentral.